RNAcentral lists this ribosomal RNA (253 nucleotides) under uncultured bacterium. RNAcentral describes it as "partial 16S ribosomal RNA". It matches the Rfam family "Bacterial small subunit ribosomal RNA", at positions 524 to 776 of the family's 1533-position model. The record is from RNAcentral.
UACGGAGGGGGCUAGCGUUGUUCGGAAUUACUGGGCGUAAAGCGCGCGUAGGCGGACCUGCAAGUCGGGGGUGAAAGCCCGAGGCUCAACCUCGGAACUGCCUUCGAUACUGCGGGUCUCGAGUCCGGGAGAGGUGAGUGGAAUUCCUAGUGUAGAGGUGAAAUUCGUAGAUAUUAGGAAGAACACCAGUGGCGAAGGCGGAUCUCUGGGCCAUUACUGACGCUGAGGAGCGAAAGCGUGGGGAGCGAACAGG